AGUCAUAUGCUUGUCUCAAAGAUUAAGCCAUGCAUGUCUAAGUACAAGCCAAAUUAAGGUGAAACCGCGAAAGGCUCAUUAAAUCAGUUAUGGUUCCUUAGAUCGUACCCACACUUACUUGGAUAACUGUGGUAAUUCUAGAGCUAAUACAUGCAAAUAGAGCUCCGACCGGAGACGGAAGGAGUGCUUUUAUUAGAUCAAAACCAAUCGGCGACGGGUCAAACCGUUGUCGUAAUAUUUGGUGACUCUGAAUAACUUUUGCUGAUCGCACGGUCUAGCACCGGCGACGCAUCUUUCAAAUGUCUGCCUUAUCAACUGUCGAUGGUAGGUUCUGCGCCUACCAUGGUUGUAACGGGUAACGGGGAAUCAGGGUUCGAUUCCGGAGAGGGAGCCUGAGAAACGGCUACCACAUCCAAGGAAGGCAGCAGGCGCGCAAAUUACCCACUCCCGGCACGGGGAGGUAGUGACGAAAAAUAACGAUACGGGACUCAUCCGAGGCCCCGUAAUCGGAAUGAGAACACUUUAAAACCUUUAACAAAAAUCAAUUGGAGGGCAAGUCUGGUGCCAGCAGCCGCGGUAAUUCCAGCUCCAAUAGCGUAU
This 600-nucleotide ribosomal RNA is filed under the name Ochthebius yoshitomii. RNAcentral describes it as "SSU rRNA". It matches the Rfam family "Eukaryotic small subunit ribosomal RNA", at positions 22 to 602 of the family's 1831-position model. The record is from RNAcentral. Lineage: Eukaryota; Metazoa; Arthropoda; Insecta; Coleoptera; Hydraenidae.